Molecule: ribosomal RNA, 533 nt
Filed under: uncultured bacterium
Lineage: Bacteria
Description: bacterial SSU rRNA
Rfam family: Bacterial small subunit ribosomal RNA
Source: RNAcentral
AAUAGAUACCCGGGUAGUCCACGCCGUAAACUAUGGAUGCUAGCUGUAUUCGGUAUCGACCCCGGAUGUAGCGAAGCUAACGCGUUAAGCAUCCCGCCUGUGGAGUACGGUCGCAAGACUAAAACAUAAAGGAAUUGACGGGGACCCGCACAAGCGGUGGAGCGUGUUGUUUAAUUCGAUGGUAAGCGAAGAACCUUACCCAGGCUUGACAUCCCGAGAAUCCUUCCGAAAGGAAGGAGUGCAUUUUGAACUCGGUGACAGGUGUUGCAUGGCCGUCGUCAGCUCGUGUCGUGAGAUGUUUGGUUAAGUCCAUCAACGAGCGCAACCCUUGUGAUUAGUUGAAUUUUUCUAAUCAGACUGCCCUGGCAACAGGGAGGAAGGGGGGAUGAUGUCAGGUCAGUAUUACCCUUACGCCUGGGGCUACAAACACGCUACAAUGGCCGGUACAAAGGGCUGCCAAGUCGCGAGACGGAGCAAAUCCCAUCAAAGCCGGUCUCAGUUCGGAUAGCAGGCUGAAACUCGCCUGCUUGAAG